RNAcentral lists this unclassified non-coding RNA (433 nucleotides) under soil metagenome. Its description in RNAcentral is "partial contains 5.8S ribosomal RNA, internal transcribed spacer 2, and large subunit ribosomal RNA". The stretch from base 1 to 120 matches the Rfam family "5.8S ribosomal RNA", at positions 35 to 154 of the family's 154-position model. The record is from RNAcentral.
GAUGAAGAACGUAGCGAAAUGCGAUACGUAAUGUGAAUUGCAGAAUUCAGUGAAUCAUCGAAUCCUUGAACGCAUAUUGCGCCCUCUGGUAUUCCGGAGAGCAUGCUUGUUUGAGUAUCAGUAAACACCUCAACUUCCAUAUCUUUUUUGAAAUGGGAGUUGGACUUGAGUGAUCCCAACGCUUUUCCUCACCGAAAAGUGGCGGGUUACUUGAAAUGCAGGUGCAGCUGGACUUUUCUCUGAGCUAUAAGCAUAUCUAUUUAGUCUGCCUAAAAAACAGAUUAUUACCUUUGCUGCAGCUAACAUAAAGGAGAUUAGUUCUUGUGCUGACUGAUGCAGGAUUCACAAAGACAGGCUUCGGCCGACUUUGUAAACUCGAUCUCAAAUCAAGUAAGACUACCCGCUGAACUUAAGCAUAUCAAUAAGCGGAGGA